GACAAUUGAGCUUGUUGGGUUGCUAYUAGUCGGGUGUCUUCGGGGAUGUCUACCGUAAAGGUGCAUGAGUGGUGUUUGGUUUGUUACAGGUGGUUGGCUCUUUGCUUGCGCAACAACUUCCACCCGGCAUACCUCUUCAGUCUUGUAUCAAUGCUUGUAUUGCGUUGGAUGCAUUGWGGGUUUCUUGUGUUGCAUGCCUAAUUAAUGGUAUCACUCGAUGAAUUGGUUUUCGUUUCGUCUUGCAAGGCCUAUGGGAUGUGAGAUGAACCUUGAAGCAACCUUUGUGAUCCACUGUUUCGAUGCAUAAGUGUUGAUUUUGUGGCUCAUUGAGUGUUGCUCGGCAUCAUGGAUAUGGAACCCUGUGUGGGCAUGGAAUCUUAAUGGUUCUUGUUUGCCCAAGUUUAGCUUUUCUAAAACGAUUGUCUAUCAUGUGUUAACGUGGUAGACAACUUCGAAUGUGAAUGCUACCUGGUUGAUCCUGCCAGUAGUCA
RNAcentral lists this unclassified non-coding RNA (491 nucleotides) under Helichrysum tomentosulum. RNAcentral's name for it is "partial external transcribed spacer". Lineage: Eukaryota; Viridiplantae; Streptophyta; Magnoliopsida; Asterales; Asteraceae. The record is from RNAcentral.